UAAGGUUGUAAGCGUUGCUCAAUCUCUCCAAGCAGUCAGUGUUUAAUAUUUUGUGUUUGUUUUAUUAUUUUCCUGCCCAGAUACGGGCCAUAACGUUAAUUGGAUUGAACGUUAUCUUCUCAUUUUUUUUAUCCAUUAUUUUGUGUAUCGCUCUUAGAUUAUUUAUGAUAAUAAUCUAACUUUAAAGGGAAUUUUGGUGUUUUAAUUUAGGCUGUAAUAGACACAAUUUACCUCUACACAUCACAGGUCGCCCUAUGGUAGAGACAAAUCAAUAUAUUAUCAGUCCUUAAAAUGGUAUGAAUAAAUACUGACUAGAGAUGAUGAAAGAUGGUCAAUGUUGAAAGAAAUAAAGAAAAGGUACAGUUUGCGUCUCAUGGUCCUGUUGUCUUCCCAAAGCAAUAUUUUCAUUGCAAAGACGUUUGUAAUUUCGAAAAUGUAUACAAAUAAAAUGGAAGUUUACGGAGCAGGGAAAUGGAGGAAAAGGAAGAAGAAAGGUGGAAUAAGAAGAAUAUAAAGAUAAAAUAGCAAAUGAACAACUCGAGAAUACCACUACAUAUCUGAGUAAGAGGUGUGGCUUUUUUGGAUGGAUAUCAACUAUAAGAAUUUAUGAGAAAUUUUAAGUGAGGUCAUUGCAGUGCAGUUUGUGGGAUAACAGUAUUUUACACUACACAUUCCUUGUAAAAAUGGAAUAUUUUCCAAAUACUGUUGGAUGAUUUUGAUGUUUGUAGAACAGUAGUACAAGAUAAUAUGCUAUAUAUCUCAUGUCCUUAGUUUUUCAACUAUUGUAACAAAAAGUGGAAAAAGAAACAUUCAUUGAGAAAAUGUACGCGAUUUAAUACUACACAUCAGCACACUGUCGCCAGCGACAGAAUCGGCAGGGAUAUUAUUAAUUAACUUGAGGGCAGUUACAAUGAAUUUUCUUCUGAAAAAGAGAGCUAGAUCAUCUCCCGAACUUGAUUUUCUGCCUUACGAUGACCUAUCUGGCAUAUAUAGGCACCCAAGGGAGUCACCACCCUCUGGUGUACAAGGCUAGGUGCUCUAAUGCUAGAGGCUUCGGCCAGAUAAGACCUGGCACCCAAGCUACAAGAUUUCUUCAUGCACUUCACAUUUGAAGAUGAGGAGGGGAUGAGUAGUAUUUCAGUAGAUUGUUUAACUUAUGAAGCAAUUUAGAAACUGGAAUUUGCUUGUAAAAAAUGAAAUACUGCAGUAUGGUCUAAAAACUGGUCUGUCUUCUCAUAUCUCACAAUGUAGCAGCUGUAAAAUUAGAUUAUCCUAGCUGAUGAUACAGUCUUGAAGUGGCAACAAGUGGCAGUGUUACAAAUGGAAUACUACAAUAACAUUUUCCUGACACCCUUGGCUAACCUCCCAUAUGUUGAUGGAACAGCAGCAGUAUAUUGUCUUGACUUCAUCACAAAUCUCAAAAUUGAUAGACUACCAAUAUUCUUCUUAACAGUAAGAAACAAAACAAAGUUUUUUCUCUUUUUCAACUUUAUUCACUUACAUGUUUUGACGCAAGUAACAAUUCUACACUGACUACGCUGUCAUAAUUAUUUGUAUAUCUAUUUACUAAUUUUUGUAGUGCUUAUGACACCUUUCAUAUUUUUUUAAUUCUUAUUGUUUCUAAUUAACAGCCACUAGAAUUUCCAGAUUAUCACAGUUCUUUGUUAUAUUUUACUUGCGCAAAAGCGUCACUGUGGCUAUAUGAAUACAUUAUUUUUUUAAAGACAUCAACAUUUUGUUUUUAAUGCUCUUGUAAUUUACAGUCCAUUGCUGUCAACUGUUCAUAUGGUAAAUCUGAGUUUAACAUUUUUUUAAUAUUAAUUUAUAUAGUAGUAAUUCUAAUUUAACUUUUUCAUUCAUAGAAAUAUUUAAUAUACAUAUAAACUAUACUAUGGCAUAAGAUUUUAUUAUCAUUAUUAUUUUUUUAAGUUUUUAAAAUUGUUCCAUAAAUUAAUUAGACAUAUUGCAGAUUUUUUAGCGAAUUUCUGUCUUCCUUGGGACUCCUGGACAACCCAACCCAAAAAAAACUAUUUUUAUUUUGUAAUGAAGUGUGUUUUUUUCAUUAAAAAUAUUCUCAUUUUUUAUUACAGCAACUAAAUUAACUAACUAAACUAUUAUCUAAUACGUUUACUCAGAUUUGUUUAGUCAGUUUCAAAGUAAUGUUCUGUUUAGUAAAUUAUAUUUUGUGAGAUUUGCAUUAAUAGAGCUACUUUUAAGAAUUAAAAUAAGCACUCUAGAGGUUUUUAAUUGUUUAUCAUAAGCAGGUUCGUUAACUUUCAUAACAUAUAAUUAACUAAUAAUGGUAAUUUAAAUUUUUUAAGUAUAUAUUUCUAGUAAUAAAUUUUAAAUAGUAUUAUUAAAAAAUACUACUUAAAAUUUAUUAUUACGUAUUUUUUAGAAAGGGGUUUUGCUUAAUAAUUUAAGUUACAUUAGUUAAUUAUUAUGUUAAUAAAAUAUAGAGUGUAUUAGUUAUAACGCCGAUAGAGUUUUUCUAAUGGGUAUGCAACCAAACAUACAUUAAUGGUAUCCUGUAUGCCGAUUAACUUUUUUUUUAAUUAUUAUUAUUUUAUUUUAUUAAAAAUGAUUAAAUUCAAUUAGAGUACAUAUUUCAGUUAAGUAAUAUAUAUGCUAAUAUACUUUAUUACUACAAAAACACUACUUUUAUUGUUGUAUUAUUGCAACUUUAAAUUUUCAAUUUUCAUGUCUAUUUGUAUUAAUUGUUUUAGCCGUUUAUUUUUUUACCUCAGUACAGUUAUACAGUUUACAGCUGAUAAUGCAGUAAUACACAAAUAGAAUUAAUUUUUUAAUAUACGUACAUAAAUGACACACUUUAGCCGAAUAUAUUUUAUUUCUGUAAAACUAUAUUAUGAGCAAUAUGAAUACAUUUAAAUUUGUCUCAGUACGCAUUUUUAAUGUCUUUUCGGUAUACACUGCAUUGCUUUUAAUGAUACAUACAUAUUUCUUGGUAAAACCCUUAUUUAAGUUUUUUUAAUUAUUCAUUAUUAACCUAUUUUAUUAAUCUCAUUUUUUAAAGCAAAACAGUAUAAAGAAUAAGGUGGUAUUUAUUGAUGAUUGGUAAUAUUUUAGAUUUUUAAAUUUUUAUCAUAUAUUUUGAGAUGUUUGAGACUUUUAUAUUGCUAAUUUUAGAAUUUUUUAUAUUUGAUUGUUACGUCUUUUUUAAAUUAGAGAUAUUAAUAUAAACAAAAACAUAUUGAGUAAAAUUUUUAGUGUUAGUGUCAAAGCAAUGAACUGUUAUAACUAUAAAAUUUUGUUGUACUUGUAUUCAUAGAGCUUGGAAUUUAUAGAGAAAUAGUAUUUUGAAGCAAAUUAUAUAAAUGAAACCGACAAAUGCAUUGGUAUAAUAUAUUAUAGAUUUAUGUUAAAUAGGAGCGAUCUGAAGAUCUGUGCUUUCUAUUUACACGAGGUAAAAUAUAUAUUUUAAUCUACUAACAAUUUGAUUUAAAAACCAUAAUGAUAUUAUAACUCCGUUUUAUGUAUAUAUUAUAUUUAAUAACGCAUUUCUCAAUAUUUACGUUCUUCACAUUUGAUUUUCCUUUUUUUUUACUUCAUGCAAUUUAAUUUACUCCUGUUUUUUACGAUAAAAAUAUUAAGUUCUGAGUAUACAAUCUUAUACAAUUGAGUCCAUCAGCACAUUUUGAUAUAUUUCUUAUAUAUGGGUCCAAUAAGAGAAUAUAGGUUCAAAGAUCGCUACUAUUCAAUAUAUUUUUAUUAUUUAUGUUUUACUUACUGUGUAGGUAAACCAGUCUAUUGUUUCUGUAUCAUAUUUUAUAUUAGGAUAUAUUUGAUAUUAAUAAAAUGUCAGUAUUUUUGUUUCUUUGAAAGAUCUCAUACAUUGCAAUUAUGCAGGGAGUGUUCUAGGUGAAAUCAUUGGUGUGGUGAUAGGGCUCCAAAGCUCACCCUGUAAACUGAUUAAUUUAUUUGGCACUUACACUCUUACAUUUUAUAUAAAAAUUCUACCACUUUUUGUUGCUAAAUUUUAUAUAGGUACUUUUUUAAUUUUUUACAAUUUAUUUGAUCUAAAAUAUAAAAUCAUUUUAUUAUAAUUCCGUUUCAUAUAAUUAAUAUAAUAUAAUCAUAUAAUAUACGACAUUAUACGUCUAAUACUAGAGUUUGAUUGUUCGAUUUUGAGGGUGCUAAUAUACCUAUAAUGAACCACCUAUAUUUUUAUGCAAAAAUGUAUGAGGUCUUUUUUUUCUUGUGGGAUGUUAAAGGAUUGUGCGCUCCGGUGUAUUAUUCUAAUAUAUAAUUAUUACGUGUACUGUAAUGUAAUUUUUCUUCAGUCACACGGUAUUCUAUAUUAAAACU
This 4326-nucleotide long non-coding RNA is filed under the name Sitophilus oryzae (rice weevil). RNAcentral's name for it is "uncharacterized LOC115875102, transcript variant X2". Lineage: Eukaryota; Metazoa; Arthropoda; Insecta; Coleoptera; Curculionidae. The record is from RNAcentral.